Long non-coding RNA from Aegilops tauschii subsp. strangulata, 4502 nucleotides. RefSeq lists it as uncharacterized. The record is from RefSeq and is a predicted model, not a curated record. Lineage: Eukaryota; Viridiplantae; Streptophyta; Magnoliopsida; Poales; Poaceae.
UUUUAAAAUAAAAAAUAUCCGCCUGCCGCCUGCGUCCUUGGUGGCCUACAUUCAUGCCAUCUCGGUGCUCACCGCCAGCCUCAGCACCUCAUCGACGCGCUCACCGUCAGGGUGGUCGGCGACGACAAACUCAACUUCGUGUACAUCGUCACCUCCGACGUCGCGCCGUUCAUCAUCAAGCACGUUCAUGCGCCAGCCCACCACAUCGCUGACGUGCUAGCGUUACUGUUGGUUCCCUCCCCACCUCGCCUCUCGGCUCAUCGGCUGCCGCCUCUAGCCGUUGGUCCGCCGCCGCCGUCCUCAACCCCUCCCCACCGACGCGCCGUCGACAACCUCUCCCAUCCCGUGGCUGCGCUCGCCCCGUCCUCGUCGGCGACGCAGCAAUCUUCCGUGUGGACCCGUCUCUGUCACCAGCAGCGACAGGACAAUGGCGCUCCGCAAGUUUAUGUGGGCUAAUGUCUUUUUGUACAAAUCCUAAGUAUGUGACGCAGACAAGAAGCAUAGUAAAUUGAGCUAAGUUUCUUGCUGAUUUUCCAUGUCAUCUGCUUUGUAGAAGCUGCUACAUCAAAUUAAAGGGAUUCAUUUAUAUAUUGAUGCAUAUAUGAUCCGGUUCCUUAGAAGGACCGAUACACCGGAAAGGCGUUCCAGGUAACAAGGAGGAACUCGUGAUUUCCAGGGUCGGAUGAAUUGUAGAGGCUUUCACCGGCUGCUACAUCUUCAUAUUAUCAUUCAAGUAAGUAUGUUGUGUACUGGAAGUCUGGAAGUAAGCAUCGGUCGGUGUACUUUACCUUGACCUGAUGAAAAAUUUGGUGCCGGAAAGUUAUUUUUCUGUAAAGUUACUACAUGAAUUUGUUCCGAAGAUGACAACCAAUAAUGAUUUUUUUAUCCGGCCGUGUUAUUUUUCUGUAAAGUUACUACAUGAUUACAUGAUCUAUUAAACUCUAUCUGUUAGCAAAUCAUGGUAGUACGGACACAUGCAAUCUUUGAUCGGUGUUGCAUUUUGAGAAUAACUAUUAUUGCUUCCCGUACAUUCUUGGCUCGCAGGAACAUAACAUGAGUUCAUCUAACUUUUUUAUAUUUGGUUUCAUUCGGUAGUUGUGGUUUUUGAUUCUGAUUGUGUACCAGAUGCAACAUUUGUUUGGUAGGCCUAUACUCCAGUGGAAUCGUUGAGAUCAUAGGAGGAUAGGAAGGAAAAGUAUAUUACAUAUUCGGGUUCAGUGGUAAAUGCUUCCCUACGUUCAUCAUUCACAUAUAAUUUCUUUCUAUAUGUAGUUUUCUCGCUGGUGGAAUAAAACAAGAACAAAUAUCGUGUGUGAUUUAAGCAUUUUAUUUCUUCCUUUCGUUCUUCAGAGGAUUGUUAAUGUAUAGUGGAACAAUGGAACAAAAUCAGAAGUGAAGCAUAACAUAUUUUCAGCGGAGUAACAAAACGUAGGACAAUUCAUAUUGGUUUCCAGAUGUGUGAGCACAUAUUGGUUUUAUUGUAGAUCUGUUGCAACACACGGGUACUUUGCUAUUAUGUUUGAAUGCUGAAUUGUAGCAAUAUUGAUCAGGGCAAUGCUUUACUGAGCUAAGGGUACUACGUUGCACAAGAAACGAUGCAUGUCCAUCUUACUGAGUUAAUGUCUCCACAAGUUCUCAUUUUACUGAGCAUUUUAUUCAGUUAUGUAGGCUCUUGUUAUAUACUAUCAGGAGUCCUUUGAAAGAAAAGAUGUUUACGGGUAUUACUCAAGUGGCAAUUGGAUACCUCCAAAUACAAGUGCAGAGCCUAAUUUUUUAGUAUUCCACCAUCUAUAAAGGGUUCUAGAGUCAGGCUCACAAUAUUUGAAUUGCAUUUGUCUGUAUGUUUUUAGAAUCUCUGAAUUUUGUUAGUUUUCUGUUUUUGCCUUGAUAUAACUAUAUACUCUAUAGUGCCACGAACAUUAGAGUUUGGCCCACUUUUUGCUGGUGAUACGAUGGAGCAACUGUACCUUUGUUUAAUUUGUAUUUUUAAUGAUUAAGCAAUGCAAGAGGUUUCAAUAAAUGCUAUACUACAUACACAUGCAUCUUUAUCAUACUGAUCUCCUAUAUUGUGGUAAUCAUGGCAUCAGACUGCAGGUUAGUUGGGAUACAUACUUGAGAACUUUAUGUAAACAUGACAUCAAACUGCAGGUUUUAGCUACAAUAUCUAACAGAGCAUAUGGAAAGUUGUAUCUGUAGCGAAUCUAGGUUUCUUAUUCUCUCUACAGAAUAAGAUAGCAUAAGUAUUUUCAUUGAUGAGAGGUGUGUUAAGAAAAUAAUGAGAAAAAAUAUUUCCAUUUGACCUUGUGAUAAAUUGGAAAAUAUUAUGGCAAUUUCUAGGCUGAAACCAUGAAAAAAGUUGUCUUGGAAUGAUUGUCACUCUUGAUUUUUGAGCUCCUCUUUUUUUCUAACAGUGCUGGGGAAUGAAAUGUAAGAGAACCAUUGUUUCCCAAGCUCUCAAGGUUGCAUUUCAGUGGUGCAAUGACAUAUAAUGGUGUUAUUCACAACAUGAAAGCCUGCAACAGAUUCAGGUCAUUGGUGAUUUAACAACAUGGUGAAGUUUGCUUCCACAAUAUACUUGAUCUUCGUCCUGGGGAAAGGAAAGUGCUUUUGUACGGGUAUAUUGUUUUAUAUAUAUGAUAUGAAUCAUGGAUUAAUUUGGAUAUAUAAUCCUUUUACAGUGUAAACUAUUUAUGUAUAAGUUUAUCUAAGUGUGCUAAUAGUGUUAAUCUUAGCAAUAGGGGCCACAAUUCCGGCUGCUGUUAGGGCUUUUCAAACACUGAUUUUGUAUAUUCUGUCCCGCAAAAGAUAAUUCAUUACGAUUUUUUUCUCCUUUCCUAGGGGGUGGAGUGGGGGAGGGGGAUCAUUAGGAAAUAUAGUUUUUUUAUUUUAAAAAAAAUCAGAAUACAUAUUCAUUUAUACUCACACGAAUUCCAGGUGCAUUUUUGUGACUUGUGUUGCACAUGCAAGUUUAAUGAUAAUUUGUGCUAGAAUCUAGGUUUCUUUGGGAAGCGCUUAAUUUUUACGUUAUAAGCAUAUAUGCAAGUAUCUUUCCAUUGGAUGUACCCCCUAUUGAAGCAAACUAGGUGUUAGGGCGCGCCCGUGGCGCGCCUCUUGAGGGGGAGCUGGGCGGUGCCUGGUUGUAGUCGCCCCUUUAACACCGAUUUCUAUUCUAAUUAGCGUUUGGGAUAAUUGCUUUAAUUAAGAAACUUAGCAGCAGAAAUAGAAAUAUAUAUACAGAGAAAGCUCAUUAUGGAUCUGAACAUGAAACAUCUGACUGAGAAUAGUGCAUUUAACAUAAGCAGCAACAUAGGUUUAGCGUCUUGAAAAGCAUGUGAUAAGAGGGCCCAAAAGCAAACCAUAGGUUAUCACAGGAUAGAGUAUAAUUAGGAGUACUUAGUGAUUAUAUUGACACAGGGGCUGCAGUGUCUUUGAUGGUGCACGGUGAGAACCAGGCGGCGCUUUGAAGUGAUCAUGAAACAAAAUGCACAGAUGUCUCCUUCACGAAUGUUGGCGCGGCGACGAAACUCAGACCAGUUGGUGGUUAUAGUGACCCUCUUGUCAGUUCCUAGCGUGAUGCGACAUUCGGCGAGCAGAUGGCCGUCUGCAAGUAUGACCAUGAGUGUAUCAUUGUUUGGAUCAAUGUAGUCCAACAGGUUCUCUUCCGUAUAGUUAACCUGAAAAUACCGGUAGAAGAAAGCAAGAUAUUUACAUGGACAUAAAUUGUUGUGUGAUAUGGAAGAUAAGAGAGUGUUCUAUGGAUAUUAAUGAUAUUAAUGGUGAUAGCAAAGUACUGUUAUUGACUACACAUCUUGAGGACCCAAAUUUAUGAAUGCUCAAAUAAAAUGGCUGAUGAAAGAGCAAGAAGUCAAUAUUUCUGGUGUCCAAUUGACAAUUUGAGUAUGUACAGCCUAGUGUAUGAAUAGAGAACAAACGAAUGAAAAAAUGUUGUAGCAAAGUUUAUCUGCAGUGCAAGGCUUGUUGAUGCCAUUGAGCUAGCUCAUUUGGUCCGCGUUGUGACAUUUGCACAUCUGCUCAUGGACAUGAGCAUUCGUACUGAUGUUAUUUGUAUGUAUCAGCAAGUCAGAUGGAUAAGCCCAGAAAUACUAAGAUUAUACGAGCUGAUGUCCAUCAAAGUGAUUGUACUGGUGUGCGGAUUAUAUUUGUUUGAAAAGCAAGCAUGUUGUAUAUAAACACAAAAGCAGCAGAGAAAUUAUGAGCUCAGAUCCAUUAUACUGGUUGUACAUGUAACGAGGACCACCCAUUACAGUUUGUCCAAAAGUAGUCUAGCACAUAUGUCUCUUGUAUUUAUAGUACAGGAAAGUAGAAAUACGGACAACUCUUAUUACUGUCACAACAUUAAAUGAUCAGCCUCUGCUCAAGAGCUUUGCAUGUAAGAUCAGAUCCAGCGCGGCGAGACGGUCUGAGCCCUCGGCUCAUACGACUAGGCUUCAUCAGUAUUGCCUACCUGCUUCUCCAAGACAAUUCAGAAAAAUUAUGAAAAA